Molecule: ribosomal RNA, 120 nt
Filed under: Luxemburgia ciliosa
Lineage: Eukaryota; Viridiplantae; Streptophyta; Magnoliopsida; Malpighiales; Ochnaceae
Description: partial 26S ribosomal RNA
Source: RNAcentral
UAGUCKGKACGUACCCGCUGAGUUUUAAGCAUAUGUCAUCGGGAUUCAAAGUGCAUGCUACAUCUCAUCAUCAGACGAGAACUCAAUAGUCUCGAAUGACCACCAGUCACAUGCAGCACU